RNAcentral lists this long non-coding RNA (1143 nucleotides) under Nicotiana benthamiana. RNAcentral describes it as "long non-coding RNA (NBEN_LNC019508)". Lineage: Eukaryota; Viridiplantae; Streptophyta; Magnoliopsida; Solanales; Solanaceae. The record is from RNAcentral.
UCCAAAACUGGCCCAGCACCCAUUAAAUCCAAUACCCUAAAAAAUCCCUUCUUCCUCACCUUUAAGACACACCAAAACAAACCCUAACCAGGAGAACCUUCAGCCGUUGAAUACAAUCACCCCCCAAGCCGUUUCUCUGUCUUUUUCAACACUCAUCUCCACAACCAGAAGACCACUGCUGCCCACCCCAGGCAACGCCAGCCAUCGCUUCUCUCAUCCAGACCUGAAGCCCAGUCGUCACCCCUACCAAAACUUGCAACCCCUCAUCUCCUUCACCAAGCAAACAACCACCAAAGGUUUUGGAAACGACCCCCUAACACUAUAGAACGCCGCUCCCUCACCGCGUCAAACACCACCUGGAGCCGCAACAAGCCAUCCCCAUCCCAUCUCCACAUCCGCCACCCAGCGAGCCGCAUCACUCCCUCUUCAGUCCAUAUCGAGCACAUCACCCUCACCCAUCUUCCUCACUGCCACAAACGAGAAACACACGCACACGUACAAGAACAAAAAUAGGCAGAAAUAAAAAAGAAUGUGGAGAUAAAUUUUCGACAAAUUUUGAUAGAAAAUAAAAGGGGUUUCUUUGCCAACUGAUUUGAUUUUUGCUCCUUAAAAUAUUAGAAAAUUGAAUAAAAAAUAGUCUCAACAUCUUCUUUCUGAUUUCUAUUUCCAUUUUAUUAUGGAACUUGUUUGAGUUUUUAUUGGUUCAAGUUCGACUAAGAACCACCAUCCGUUCGAGGUCUCGUUUGGGGUUGCUUGAGUCCAUCGCAGGUUCUAUUCGAGAGCUGGUACAUUGCUUAUCGAGAUCCAAUCCAUUUGAUCCAAGUUUACAUUGCAAACUGAGGUUAAAAUUCUUCCUGGUCUUUGUUCCUUUAAGGCUUAUACAUGAUGCUUUGUAUGAUGUGAUUCUGUGGAUUCAUUAAUGCUUCACUAUUGAAAUAACUUAGUGUGACGUUGAUGUAGUUAAUUAAAUUGAAUGGAUAAUAUGUUACUUGAGCUUAAAUGUAGAUAUUAUGUAUUAGCUAACCGGGUUAAUGGGAUGUGGAAUGCUGGACUGAAGAUGGAUAAGAAAUUGGACCUCAAGAUCUUCCUAGUUUUAUUUAAUAUCACUAAUAGUAUGUUUAGGCCGAUUAUAUUUGAGUUGGC